AGAGUUUGAUCCUGGCUCAGGAUGAACGCUGGCGGCGUGCCUAACACAUGCAAGUCGAGCGAGAAGCUUUUAAAUGACGCUUCGGUAGAUUUUAGAAGUGGAAAGCGGCGGACGGGUGAGUAACGCGUAGGCAACCUGCCCUUUGCAGAGGGAUAGCCUCGGGAAACCGGGAUUAAAACCUCAUAACGCCUUUAAGAGACAUCUUUUAAAGGCCAAAGAUUUAUCGGCAAAGGAUGGGCCUGCGUCUGAUUAGUUAGUUGGUGGGGUAACGGCCUACCAAGGCGACGAUCAGUAGCCGACCUGAGAGGGUGAUCGGCCACAUUGGAACUGAGACACGGUCCAAACUCCUACGGGAGGCAGCAGUGGGGAAUAUUGCACAAUGGGGGAAACCCUGAUGCAGCAACGCCGCGUGAAGGAAGAAGGCCUUUGGGUCGUAAACUUCUGUUCUAAGGGAAGAAAAGGACUGUACCUUAGGAGCAAGUCCCGGCUAACUACGUGCCAGCAGCCGCGGUAAUACGUAGGGGGCAAGCGUUAUCCGGAAUUAUUGGGCGUAAAGAGCACGUAGGUGGCUACCUAAGCACGGGGUUUAAGGCUAUGGCUUAACCAUAGUUCGCCUUGUGAACUGGGCUGCUUGAGUGCAGGAGAGGAAAGCGGAAUUCCUAGUGUAGCGGUGAAAUGCGUAGAUAUUAGGAGGAACACCAGUGGCGAAGGCGGCUUUCUGGACUGUAACUGACACUGAGGUACGAAAGCGUGGGGAGCAAACAGGAUUAGAUACCCUGGUAGUCCACGCCGUAAACGAUGAGCACUAGGUGUCGGGGUCGCAAGACUUCGGUGCCGCAGUUAACGCAAU
This 850-nucleotide ribosomal RNA is filed under the name uncultured bacterium. RNAcentral describes it as "bacterial SSU rRNA". It matches the Rfam family "Bacterial small subunit ribosomal RNA", at positions 8 to 861 of the family's 1533-position model. The record is from RNAcentral.